This 253-nucleotide ribosomal RNA is filed under the name uncultured bacterium. RNAcentral describes it as "partial 16S ribosomal RNA". It matches the Rfam family "Bacterial small subunit ribosomal RNA", at positions 524 to 776 of the family's 1533-position model. The record is from RNAcentral.
UACGGAGGGGGCUAGCGUUGUUCGGAAUCACUGGGCUUAAAGGGCGCGUAGGCGGUCCGACAAGUCAGGGGUGAAAUCCUGCAGCUUAACUGCAGAAGUGCCUUUGAUACUGUCGGUCUCGAGGGAGAUAGGGGUGUGCGGAACUCACAGUGGAGCGGUGAAAUGCGUUGAUAUUGUGAGGAACGCCGGAGGCGAAAGCGGCGCACUGGAUCUCUUCUGACGCUGAGGCGCGAAAGCUAGGGGAGCAAACGGG